GUGAAUCAUCAAAUUUUUGAACGCAUAUUGCACUCUCUGGUAUUCCGGAGAGUAUGCCUGUUUGAGGGUAAUUAAAAAGAAUCUUUAACCAAUUUUUUUUGGUCAAAGGAAAUGAGUUCUCCACGCUUCUAGCGGUAGCUUGCAAUAAAUGGUCAAGUCUCAUUUUAGUCGAGACGCGUAAUAAUAUUAUUUCGCGAACUCUUCAUUAUGUGACUAUCAAGUUUUUAUGCAUACACAUUUGGUUUGUAUUCGAUCACUACCAAUAUUUUGAACCUUACCUCCAAUCAUGUAGUAGUCCCC
RNAcentral lists this unclassified non-coding RNA (300 nucleotides) under Ambisporaceae sp. Its description in RNAcentral is "partial contains 5.8S ribosomal RNA and internal transcribed spacer 2". The stretch from base 1 to 71 matches the Rfam family "5.8S ribosomal RNA", at positions 84 to 154 of the family's 154-position model. The record is from RNAcentral. Lineage: Eukaryota; Fungi; Glomeromycota; Glomeromycetes; Archaeosporales; Ambisporaceae.